AUUAGAAUAGUUAAAAGAACUCUUGAUUUCUACUCAGGAGAUCUGAGAUCUAUUCUUGGUUUUACUA
Molecule: transfer RNA, 67 nt
Filed under: Monodelphis domestica (gray short-tailed opossum)
Lineage: Eukaryota; Metazoa; Chordata; Mammalia; Didelphimorphia; Didelphidae
Rfam family: tRNA
About the family: Transfer RNA (tRNA) molecules are approximately 80 nucleotides in length. Their secondary structure includes four short double-helical elements and three loops (D, anti-codon, and T loops).
Source: Rfam by way of RNAcentral